UUGGUGAGGUAACGGCCCACCAAGGCGACGAUGGGUAGCCGGCCUGAGAGGGCGACCGGCCACACUGGGAGUGAGACACGGCCCUGACUCCUACGGGAGGCAGCAGUGGGGAAUAUUGCGCAAUGGGAGAAAGCCUGACGCAGCGACGCCGCGUGAGGGAUGAAGGCCUUCGGGUUGUAAACCUCUUUCAGCAGGGACGAAAACAGACGGUACCUGCAGAAGAAGCACCGGCCAACUACGUGCCAGCAGCCGCGGUAAUACGUAGGGUGCAAGCGUUGUCCGGAAUUAUUGGGCGUAAAGAGCUCGUAGGCGGUUUGUCGCGUCGGCUGUGAAAACUCGGGGCUCAACCCCGAGCCUGCAGUCGAUACGGGCAGACUAGAGUGCGGUAGGGGAGACUGGAAUUCCUGGUGUAGCGGUGAAAUGCGCAGAUAUCAGGAGGAACACCGGUGGCGAAGGCGGGUCUCUGGGCCGUAACUGACGCUGAGGAGCGAAAGCGUGGGGAGCAAACAGGAUUAGAUACCCUGGUAGUCCACGCCGUAAACGGUGGGUGCUAGGUGUAGGC
RNAcentral lists this ribosomal RNA (562 nucleotides) under uncultured bacterium. Its description in RNAcentral is "bacterial SSU rRNA". It matches the Rfam family "Bacterial small subunit ribosomal RNA", at positions 249 to 827 of the family's 1533-position model. The record is from RNAcentral.